UGGACAGUGUUCCUAAUAGUCUGU
RNAcentral lists this microRNA (24 nucleotides) under Drosophila sechellia. Its description in RNAcentral is "dse-miR-2582-5p". Lineage: Eukaryota; Metazoa; Arthropoda; Insecta; Diptera; Drosophilidae. The record is from miRBase by way of RNAcentral.